AGAGUUUGAUCCUGGCUCAGAACGAACGCUGGCGGCAUGCUUAACACAUGCAAGCCGAACGAUGUAGCAAUACAUAGUGGCGCACGGGUGAGUAACGCGUGGGAAUCUGCCCUUCAGUACGGAAUAACAGCGGGAAACUGUUGCUAAUACCGUAUAAUGUCUUCGGACCAAAGAUUUAUCGCUGAAGGAUGAGCCCGCGUCAGAUUAGCUAGUUGGUGAGGUAAUGGCUCACCAAGGCUCCGAUCUGUAGCUGGUCUGAGAGGACGACCAGCCACACUGGAACUGAGACACGGUCCAGACUCCUACGGGAGGCAGCAGUGGGGAAUAUUGGACAAUGGGCGAAAGCCUGAUCCAGCAAUGCCGCGUGAGUGAUGAAGGCCUUAGGGUUGUAAAGCUCUUUUGCCGGGGAAGAUAAUGACGGUACCCGGAGAAUAAGCACCGGCUAACUUCGUGCCAGCAGCCGCGGUAAUACGAAGGGUGCUAGCGUUGUUCGGAAUUACUGGGCGUAAAGCGCGCGUAGGCGGACUGCCAAGUCAGAGGUGAAAUGCCGGGGCUUAACCCCGGAACUGCCUUUGAAACUGUCAGUCUGGAGGUCGAGAGGGGAUAGCGGAAUUGCUAAUGUAGAGGUGAAAUUCGUAGAUAUUAGCAGGAACACCGGUGGCGAAGGCGGCUAUCUGGCUCGAAUCUGACGCUCUGGCGCGAAAGCGUGGGGAUCAAACAGGAUUAGAUACCCUGGUAGUCCACGCUGUAAACGAUGAGUGCUAGCUGUCAGCUCCGUUAGGAGUUGGUGGCGCAGCUAACGCAUUAAGCACUCCGCCUGGGGAGUACGGUCGCAAGAUUAAAACUCAAAGGAAUUGACGGGGACCCGCACAAGCGGUGGAGCAUGUGGUUUAAUUCGAGGCAACGCGAAGAACCUUACCAGCCCUUGACAUGGGUAGUUUGGAUUUCAGAGAUGAUUUCCUUCAGUUUGGCUGGCUACCACACAGGUGCUGCAUGGCUGUCGUCAGCUCGUGUCGUGAGAUGUUGGGUUAAGUCCCGCAACGAGCGCAACCCUCGUCUUUAGUUGCCAUCAGGUUAUGCUGGGCACUCUAAAGAAACUGCCGGUGAUAAGCCGGAGGAAGGUGGGGAUGACGUCAAGUCUUCAUGGCCCUUAUGGGCUGGGCUACACACGUGCUACAAUGGCGGUGACAAUGCGUCGCUACCUCGCGAGAGGAAGCCAAUCGCAAAAAGCCGUCUCAGUUCGGAUUGUUCUCUGCAACUCGAGAGCAUGAAGUUGGAAUCGCUAGUAAUCGUGGAUCAGAACGCCACGGUGAAUACGUUCCCGGGUCUUGUACACACCGCCCGUCACACCAUGGGAGUUGGUUCUACCUUAAGCUGUGUUGCUGACCGCAAGGGGGCGCACAACCACGG
Molecule: ribosomal RNA, 1410 nt
Filed under: metagenome
Description: bacterial SSU rRNA
Rfam family: Bacterial small subunit ribosomal RNA
Source: RNAcentral